CUCUCAUUAUUUUGCAUCUGAUUUUCUGCAGUCUGCUAUUGCUUUGCGUGGUGGUGAUAUCAAAGAAGUGCGGUUUAAGGCGAAAACUGAAAUUAAAGACAUGAAGGUGAAAGCAGAUGCAAUUACCAGGCUGAUGGAGCGUGGAUACAAGGUGAAGUGCAUGGCGAUGCCCGCAGGUAACGAAGCAGAAGAUUUAGGCGGACCGCUAUCUCGGUUAUUAGGACUG
Hordeum vulgare subsp. vulgare (domesticated barley) is the source of this 226-nucleotide long non-coding RNA. RefSeq lists it as uncharacterized. The transcript has 3 exons. NCBI's taxonomy places the organism in Eukaryota, Viridiplantae, Streptophyta, Magnoliopsida, Poales, Poaceae. The record is from RefSeq and is a predicted model, not a curated record.